UGUCCACUUGCGGGAGCCUUCCCUCGGCAGCUCCCACUGGGCCUUCUGGGGGCACAGGUCCAGGAGGGGGGCCCCCACUGGUUGUUCCAAUGUACUGAGGGGCUGAUAUGGAGACGCCAGGAGACAGCAGGCGAGGGCUCCACGGAGGGGGAGGUGCAGGCGUGUGAGAGGACGGUGGCCAUGGAGCAGAGCCUCUGCCGGCUCCUCUCCACUGUGGAAGCCAGAACACCUGUGGGGCGCCAGGCACUGCGCUGCAGGCGGAUGACCCCGCUGAAGGCGAGCGGAGAGGCAGACCAGAGCCAGAUGAUCCGCAUACGUGUAAAACCACACCUGGACAGCCAGCACCAUGGCCAGGUGUGCCAGGGAGAUCAGGACGGCUUCUCUGAGGAGGUGAUCAUGGAGCCCACGAGGAAAGCUGGGCCGGAGUGACUCG
Molecule: long non-coding RNA, 433 nt
Organism: Myotis daubentonii (Daubenton's bat)
Lineage: Eukaryota; Metazoa; Chordata; Mammalia; Chiroptera; Vespertilionidae
Source: RefSeq, a predicted model, not a curated record